GUAGUCCACGCCGUAAACGAUGGAUACUAGCUGUUGGGCCGCAAGGCUCAGUGGCUAAGCGAAAGUGAUAAGUAUCCCACCUGGGGAGUACGAACGCAAGUUUGAAACUCAAAGGAAUUGACGGGGGCCCGCACAAGCGGUGGAGCAUGUGGUUUAAUUCGAUGAUACGCGAGGAACCUUACCAAGGCUUAAAUGGGAGACGACAGGUGUGGAAACAUGCUUUUCUUCGGACGUCUUUCAAGGUGCUGCAUGGUUGUCGUCAGCUCGUGCCGUGAGGUGUCAGGUUAAGUCCUAUAACGAGCGCAACCCCUGUUGUUAGUUGCCAGCGAGUCAUGUCGGGAACUCUAACAAGACUGCCGGUGCAAACCGUGA
RNAcentral lists this ribosomal RNA (372 nucleotides) under uncultured bacterium. Its description in RNAcentral is "bacterial SSU rRNA". It matches the Rfam family "Bacterial small subunit ribosomal RNA", at positions 790 to 1167 of the family's 1533-position model. The record is from RNAcentral.